RNAcentral lists this long non-coding RNA (650 nucleotides) under Rattus norvegicus (Norway rat). Its description in RNAcentral is "long non-coding RNA NONRATT027667". Lineage: Eukaryota; Metazoa; Chordata; Mammalia; Rodentia; Muridae. The record is from RNAcentral.
UCAGUAUGCACGAAGCUGGGGUUCAACCUUCAGCACCACAUAAGCAGGGCACAGUGGCACGUGCUUGUAAUUCCAAGACUCGGGAAGAUCAGAAGUGAAGGUCAUCUUUGUUAUAUAGUCAGGUCCAGUAGAGCCUGGGCUUCAUGGGAGCAUUCCUUGAUUAAAAAUAAUCAUCAUGAUCGUGACGGGAGACAUAUCUAAAAACAGUGACUACAGAGACGAAAUAUAAAGCCAAAACCACCAAGUGCAAAGGACCAUCCUAGAACAUUCUCUGUCUGUCUCUGGGAUGAUAAAAGCCUUUAUUUGUUAGGCAAGCAUGAGCAAGCCUGAUCUCUGUUAAUCUUGGCUAAACCAAAAGACAGGAAGUAUCCAAGAGAGCAGCAUGCCUUUGCCAUCAUGCUCUAAGACUUUUUUAUUUUAAAAAAGACAAACAAACAAACAAACAAACAAAAAACCCACACCUUUUCUGCAAAAGAACAGAAAGUAAGUAUCCUAGGUUUGGAGGACCACAUAUUUACCUCUGUCACCACUAUUCCAUUCUGCCACCAAGGCACAAAACAAGACAAACAUGUAAGCAAAUAAAAAUGUUCUUGUUUUUGUUUUAAAAAAAAAAACCUAGUAAUAAACACCGAAAAUUGAAUUUUAUUUAA